GGNACGGNCAGACUAGAGUGCGGUAGGGGAGAUUGGAAUUCCUGGUGUAGCGGUGGAAUGCGCAGAUAUCAGGAGGAACACCGAUGGCGAAGGCAGAUNUCUGGNCCGUAACUGACGCUGAGGAGCGAAAGCAUGGGGAGCAAACAGGCUUAGAUACCCUGGUAGUCCAUGCCGUAAACGUUGGGAACUAGAUGUGGGGACCAUUCCACGGUCUCCGUGUCGUAGCUAACGCAUUAAGUUCCCCGCCUGGGGAGUACGGCCGCAAGGCUAAAACUCAAAGGAAUUGACGGGGGCCCGCACAAGCGGCGGAGCAUGCGGAUUAAUUCGAUGCAACGCGAAGAACCUUACCAAGGCUUGACAUAUUCGAGAACGCGCUGGAGACAGCGAACUCUUUGGACACUCGUAUACAGGUGGUGCAUGGUUGUCGUCAGCUCGUGUCGUGAGAUGUUGGGUUAAGUCCCGCAACGAGCGCAACCCUCGUCCUAUGUUGCCAGCACGUAAUGGUGGGAACUCAUGGGAUACUGCCGGGGUCAACUCGGAGGAAGGUGGGGAUGAGGUCAAAUCAUCAUGCCCCUUAUGUCUUGGGCUUCACGCAUGCUACAAUGGCCGGUACAAUGGGCUGCAAUACCGUAAGGUGGAGCGAAUCCCAAAAAGCCGGUCUCAGUUCGGAUUGAGGUCUGCAACUCGACCUCAUGAAGUCGGAGUCGCUAGUAAUCGUAGAUCAGCAACGCUACGGUGAAUACGUUCCCGGGCCUUGUACACACCGCCCNUCAANNNNNGAAAGUCGGUAACACCCGAAG
RNAcentral lists this ribosomal RNA (800 nucleotides) under unidentified microorganism. Its description in RNAcentral is "bacterial SSU rRNA". It matches the Rfam family "Bacterial small subunit ribosomal RNA", at positions 629 to 1426 of the family's 1533-position model. The record is from RNAcentral.